UUUCCGUAGGUGAACCUGCGGAAGGAUCAUUACCGAGUGCGGACCCUCUGGGUCCAACCUCCCAUCCGUGUCUAUUCAUACCCUGUUGCUUCGGCGGGCCCGCUUGGCUGUCCCCCCCCUCCUGGGGAGGGGGCUGCCGGCCGCCGGGGGGCUACCCUGCCCCCGGGCCCGUGCCCGCCGGGGACACCAACACUGAACACUGUCUGAAGGUUGCAGUCUGAGUUUUCAUAAAGAAAAAUUGUUAAAACUUUCAACAACGGAUCUCUUGGUUCCG
RNAcentral lists this unclassified non-coding RNA (274 nucleotides) under soil metagenome. RNAcentral describes it as "partial contains small subunit ribosomal RNA, internal transcribed spacer 1, and 5.8S ribosomal RNA". The record is from RNAcentral.